GUGGUUAUGGCGAAAUGGUUAACGCACUAGAUUGUGGAUCUAGCUAUUGUGAGUUCGACCCUCACUGACCACA
RNAcentral lists this transfer RNA (73 nucleotides) under Granulicatella sp. RNAcentral's name for it is "tRNA-His". It matches the Rfam family "tRNA". Rfam says of the family: Transfer RNA (tRNA) molecules are approximately 80 nucleotides in length. Their secondary structure includes four short double-helical elements and three loops (D, anti-codon, and T loops). The record is from RNAcentral. Lineage: Bacteria; Bacillati; Bacillota; Bacilli; Lactobacillales; Carnobacteriaceae.